GAUGAACGCUGGCGGCGUGCCUAAUACAUGCAAGUCGAGCGAACAGACGAGGAGCUUGCUCCUCUGACGUUAGCGGCGGACGGGUGAGUAACACGUGGAUAACCUACCUAUAAGACUGGGAUAACUUCGGGAAACCGGAGCUAAUACCGGAUAAUAUAUUGAACCGCAUGAUUCAAUAGUGAAAGACGGUUUUGCUGUCACUUAUAGAUGGAUCCGCGCCGCAUUAGCUAGUUGGUAAGGUAACGGCUUACCAAGGCGACGAUGCGUAGCCGACCUGAGAGGGUGAUCGGCCACACUGGAACUGAGACACGGUCCAGACUCCUACGGGAGGCAGCAGUAGGGAAUCUUACGCAAUGGGCGAAAGCAUGACGGAGCAACGCCGCGUGAGUGAUGAAGGUCUUCGGAUCGUAAAACUCUGUUAUUAGGGAAGAACAAAUGUGUAAGUAACUAUGCACGUCUUGACGGUACCUAAUCAGAAAGCCACGGCUAACUACGUG
RNAcentral lists this ribosomal RNA (497 nucleotides) under uncultured bacterium. RNAcentral describes it as "partial 16S ribosomal RNA". It matches the Rfam family "Bacterial small subunit ribosomal RNA", at positions 28 to 507 of the family's 1533-position model. The record is from RNAcentral.